This 72-nucleotide small RNA is filed under the name Mesoflavibacter zeaxanthinifaciens subsp. sabulilitoris. RNAcentral's name for it is "Flavo-1 RNA". It matches the Rfam family "Flavo-1 RNA". The record is from RNAcentral. Lineage: Bacteria; Pseudomonadati; Bacteroidota; Flavobacteriia; Flavobacteriales; Flavobacteriaceae.
UUGUGUUAAGGAUAGUAGUGGCAUCCUUUUUUGAAGUAUGAAAAAAAGAUAUAACGAAUAGCCUGACCGUUU